Molecule: ribosomal RNA, 253 nt
Filed under: uncultured bacterium
Lineage: Bacteria
Description: partial 16S ribosomal RNA
Rfam family: Bacterial small subunit ribosomal RNA
Source: RNAcentral
GACGAACCGUGCGAACGUUGUUCGGAUUCACUGGGCUUAAAGGGCGCGUAGGCGGGCGGUCAAGUCAGGGGUGAAAUCUUUCGGCCUAACCGGAAGGAGGCCUCUGAUACUGGCCGUCUCGAGGGAGGUAGGGGCAUGCGGAACUUCCGGUGGAGCGGUGAAAUGCGUAGAUAUCGGAAGGAACGCCGGUGGCGAAAGCGGCGUGCUGGACCUCUUCUGACGCUGAGGCGCGAAAGCCAGGGGAGCGAACGGG